This 466-nucleotide ribosomal RNA is filed under the name uncultured bacterium. RNAcentral describes it as "partial 16S ribosomal RNA". It matches the Rfam family "Bacterial small subunit ribosomal RNA", at positions 28 to 506 of the family's 1533-position model. The record is from RNAcentral.
GAUGAACGCUGGCGGCGUGCUUAACACAUGCAAGUCGAACGGAAAGGCUCCUGCUUGCAGGGGUACUCGAGUGGCGAACGGGUGAGUAACACGUGGGUGAUCUGCCCUGCACUUCGGGAUAAGCCUGGGAAACUGGGUCUAAUACCGGAUAGGACCACAUUUUGGAUGGUGUGGUGGAAAGUUUUUCGGUGUGGGAUGAGCUCGCGGCCUAUCAGCUUGUUGGUGGGGUAAUGGCCUACCAAGGCGUCGACGGGUAGCCGGCCUGUGAGGGUGUACGGCCACAUUGGGACUGAGGUACGGCCCAGACUCCUACGGGAGGCAGCAGUGGGGAAUAUUGCACAAUGGGCGCAAGCCUGAUGCAGCGACGCCGCGUGGGGGAUGACGGCCUUCGGGUUGUAAACUCCUUUCGCUAGGGACGAAGCGUUUUUGUGACGGGACCUGGAGAAGAAACACCGGCUAACUACGU